GCUUAACACAUGCAAGUCGAACGAUGAACCUCACUUGUGGGGGGAUUAGUGGCGAACGGGUGAGUAACACGUGAGUAACCUGCCCUUAACUCUGGGAUAAGCCUGGGAAACUGGGUCUAAUACCGGAUAUGACUCCUCAUCGCAUGGUGGGGGGUGGAAAGCUUUAUUGUGGUUUUGGAUGGACUCGCGGCCUAUCAGCUUGUUGGUGAGGUAAUGGCUCACCAAGGCGACGACGGGUAGCCGGCCUGAGAGGGUGACCGGCCACACUGGGACUGAGACACGGCCCAGACUCCUACGGGAGGCAGCAGUGGGGAAUAUUGCACAAUGGGCGCAAGCCUGAUGCAGCGACGCCGCGUGAGGGAUGACGGCCUUCGGGUUGUAAACCUCUUUCAGUAGGGAAGAAGCGAAAGUGACGGUACCUGCAGAAGAAGCGCCGGCUAACUACGUGCCAGCAGCCGCGGUAAUACGUAGGGCGCAAGCGUUAUCCGGAAUUAUUGGGCGUAAAGAGCUCGUAGGCGGUUUGUCGCGUCUGCCGUGAAAGUCCGGGGCUCAACUCCGGAUCUGCGGUGGGUACGGGCAGACUAGAGUGA
This 590-nucleotide ribosomal RNA is filed under the name actinobacterium TH-N29. Its description in RNAcentral is "bacterial SSU rRNA". It matches the Rfam family "Bacterial small subunit ribosomal RNA", at positions 46 to 649 of the family's 1533-position model. Lineage: Bacteria; Bacillati; Actinomycetota; Actinomycetes. The record is from RNAcentral.